GCCUUUGUAGCUUAACGGAUAGAGUGCUGGCCUCCGAAGCCAGUAAUGCCAGUUCGAUUCUGGCCAGAGGCACAA
This 75-nucleotide transfer RNA is filed under the name Candidatus Shapirobacteria bacterium CG07_land_8_20_14_0_80_39_18. RNAcentral's name for it is "tRNA-Arg". It matches the Rfam family "tRNA". Rfam says of the family: Transfer RNA (tRNA) molecules are approximately 80 nucleotides in length. Their secondary structure includes four short double-helical elements and three loops (D, anti-codon, and T loops). Further hydrogen bonds mediate the characteristic L-shaped molecular structure. tRNAs have two regions of fundamental functional importance: the anti-codon, which is responsible for specific mRNA codon recognition, and the 3' end, to which the tRNAs corresponding amino acid is attached (by aminoacyl-tRNA synthetases). tRNAs cope with the degeneracy of the genetic code in two manners: having more than one tRNA (with a specific anti-codon) for a particular amino acid; and 'wobble' base-pairing, i.e. permitting non-standard base-pairing at the 3rd anti-codon position. Lineage: Bacteria; Candidatus Shapironibacteriota. The record is from RNAcentral.